AUUAAAUUAUUGUAUUGAACACGAGCCAGUUAAUUGACAAUCGCCGUUUAUUUACUAUUUAUUACUACCGACUAUAACGAGACCGCCAUCAGAAAAAUUAUGACGCUGGCGUCGCGGACUUUCGCGGUUAUUCGCUUCGUCGCUUUGUGUCCGUUAUAUACUUAGUAGUGACUCGUCAGUGUACCCAAAAAAUCUUGUCCGGACGCGAAAUGAGUUUGAAAGCUGCAGUAGGCCUUUUUCAGGCCCAACAACGAGAAUUUGAAAAUUACCAAUUGAAGACCAAGAUGGGGCUUGCCAAACAUCAUUCAAUUGCCAAUAUAGUGCACCCAUUGUCAUACCUUCGCCAACUUCGUUAAAUAAGCUUUUCAUUUGACGGUAUUUCCAAGUUUUUAGAAAUCAAGAGUUUCAUGAAAUUAUACCCUUGAGGCAAGUGUUGGCGAUGCUUCAUAAAAGAACUGUCCAAUUGCAAAUCACUGAUAUUUUUAGUAGCUUGCAUUAUAGUGUAAAUUGAAGGUAAUGCUUGAAAUCCAUAUUCAGAUGCAAAUCUUGUCACUGGAUAUUGAUUGAUAUCCCAACUGUCCCUCAAGUAGUUGUAGUAAUGAACUAAAAUAAAUUAAAAAAAAUAUGUAUCAAAGAUAAA
Nasonia vitripennis (jewel wasp) is the source of this 640-nucleotide long non-coding RNA. RefSeq lists it as uncharacterized. The transcript has 3 exons. The record is from RefSeq and is a predicted model, not a curated record. Lineage: Eukaryota; Metazoa; Arthropoda; Insecta; Hymenoptera; Pteromalidae.